CAUGUUUACACAAUAUUGUGUACGGUUUUUGUGCUGCUGCCUUUGAGCCUCAACAUUCGUUUUGUGCACCUGUCAAUCGUUUUCUUUUUUAGGUCAGAAGCCGUCGUUCUGCGGUCAAAAUGCAAUUGUAUUCAUCUGCUGUACCGGCCUUAAAGUAUGAUGAAGCCAUCUCGUUUUUUUACCCAGCGCGAGGACACGCGGCGUGUGCACAAUUAAUCAAACAACUGGACAAAAAAACGGAGAGCAAAAACGAGGAAUAUUCAAUUAUUCAUACCCACUGUUAGCCCGAAUGUGUGGCACAUAACCACAAACAGGCGUCGCCAAACAUAAUGUUGAUAAGUGUAAAUGCCAUAUGAAAAUGUUGUUCGUGCCACGUGC
Molecule: non-coding RNA, 378 nt
Organism: Drosophila melanogaster (fruit fly)
Lineage: Eukaryota; Metazoa; Arthropoda; Insecta; Diptera; Drosophilidae
Source: Ensembl